Molecule: long non-coding RNA, 1433 nt
Organism: Ornithodoros turicata
Lineage: Eukaryota; Metazoa; Arthropoda; Arachnida; Ixodida; Argasidae
Exons: 4
Source: RefSeq, a predicted model, not a curated record
GCACCUCCCUGAAACUGUUGUCGGUGCUACCGUAAAUUUCACUUCUGUAAUGGAAACGACUACUGCUGCAUAGUGUAGCUAGUUCAGUUAGUUUUUCAUAUGCUGCUGUGCCCUGCCUCCUGCCUGUUUAGCUGUAAAAUCUCUUUCCUAGGAUCUGCCAGGCAAUUCUUUCAAGGUAGUGUUCCAAUGCCACAAGACGGGUGCCGCACUGAGCCUUGCAACAUAAGUGGACUAGCAGCAUUGUAUGAUGAUCCAGUAUUCGAUAGAUGUACUGGGCAGCCAAGAUAUAUGUUUGCACACAAUGACACAUGUGUCACAAGAGAAGAUCCAUACUCACCACCUUGUCUUGUCGAACGUCAGCUCAGCAGCGGUAUGAAAAACAUGGCUCAAGUCGAGAAACUUGCAUGGUUAGGCAUUUUGUGAUCUACAACUCCUACUAUGAAAUUGCUCUUGGUACAUCUGGGAGUGUUGCUUUCACCAACGUUUCUCAGGAGUGUGUCUUUAAUGUUAGUGGAAAUUGUCUGUUCAUUCAGACUGCAGUGGGGAGUCCACUUCAAGAGCUCAACAGACGCAUCAUACUCAGGCAGGCAGCAGGGGGAGCACACCAGACAUAUAUGCCAGUGGUACAAUGGUAGCAUGUGGUGCACGCUUCGCACGGGCUGAGCCUUCUCAUGCCAGCAUCCAGAGGUCCAGGUUUGGUUCUUUGAUACCCCACAGUGCACCCACUGUCACAGGAGAAUGCUCUACAAAUCCACAGCAGAACCCGCACCACAGGGGUGCUCGAACACAAGACUGCUAUUCACCUGCUGCAACAGCCCACAGACUACAUACAGGAGGUGCGUGAUUAUUAGAGUUUACGGUGCCCAGGACCACGACAGUGCCUUAGUGAGAGCGUAAGCAUAUCAAUAAUGUGGGGCCAUGUAUGUAACAUAGUGGUUUUGUAUGUAUUUUUUUAUUUUCGCAUGUGUACUUAGCCAAUUAUUCCUGAGUUUUGGCAUGCCUCCUGUAUUCCUUUUACAAUGGUGCCUGUCAUAGAGAUUGCCAGCCAUGCCAGAUUGCAACAUCUAUCGUAUUCCACUUCAACUGAAUCUUGCUGAACCACUUGGGGCUUUUGACAGCUCGUGCAGGGAAUGAGAGGAUGUUCAAGGACAUUUCAAAACGUAUUAAAAAUUGCAUGUAACAAUAAUCAUAUGCAAGUUUGCAAGUGUUAUUUUUGUCCGCAGGUUUAGUUUAAGUAACCCUGACAGUUCUACUGCCAUCAUAUUGACUGUGUGCCAAUUUCCAUUGUGAUAGUUUUAUAUAUGGCUUUUAAUUAUGUCUUUUCACUGCUUGUAUAAGUGUUUUGUUUUAUCAAUUUAUUUUAUUUUGCAUUAACCCGUGACUGCAUGUCUUUCACACUGUCUGCCUACCUCCUGUGUGCAGGGCUCGGAACA